AGUGAACGCUGGCGGUAGGCCUAACACAUGCAAGUCGAACGGCAGCACAGUAAGAGCUUGCUCUUACGGGUGUCGAGUGGCGGACGGGUGAGGAAUACAUCGGAAUCUACCUUUUCGUGGGGGAUAACGUAGGGAAACUUACGCUAAUACCGCAUACGACCUACGGGUGAAAGCAGGGGAUCUUCGGACCUUGCGCGAUUGAAUGAGCCGAUGUCGGAUUAGCUAGUUGGCGGGGUAAAGGCCCACCAAGGCGACGAUCCGUAGCUGGUCUGAGAGGAUGAUCAGCCACACUGGAACUGAGACACGGUCCAGACUCCUACGGGAGGCAGCAGUGGGGAAUAUUGGACAAUGGGCGCAAGCCUGAUCCAGCCAUACCGCGUGGGUGAAGAAGGCCUUCGGGUUGUAAAGCCCUUUUGUUGGGAAAGAAAAGCAGCAGGUUAAUACCCCGCUGUUCUGACGGUACCCAAAGAAUAAGCACCGGCUAACUUCGUG
Molecule: ribosomal RNA, 492 nt
Filed under: uncultured bacterium
Lineage: Bacteria
Description: partial 16S ribosomal RNA
Rfam family: Bacterial small subunit ribosomal RNA
Source: RNAcentral